This 60-nucleotide transfer RNA is filed under the name Loxodonta africana (African savanna elephant). It matches the Rfam family "tRNA", at positions 6 to 65 of the family's 71-position model. Rfam says of the family: Transfer RNA (tRNA) molecules are approximately 80 nucleotides in length. Their secondary structure includes four short double-helical elements and three loops (D, anti-codon, and T loops). Further hydrogen bonds mediate the characteristic L-shaped molecular structure. tRNAs have two regions of fundamental functional importance: the anti-codon, which is responsible for specific mRNA codon recognition, and the 3' end, to which the tRNAs corresponding amino acid is attached (by aminoacyl-tRNA synthetases). tRNAs cope with the degeneracy of the genetic code in two manners: having more than one tRNA (with a specific anti-codon) for a particular amino acid; and 'wobble' base-pairing, i.e. permitting non-standard base-pairing at the 3rd anti-codon position. Lineage: Eukaryota; Metazoa; Chordata; Mammalia; Proboscidea; Elephantidae. The record is from Rfam by way of RNAcentral.
GGUGGUUCAGUGGUAGAAUUCUUGCCUCUCAUACAGGAGACCUGGGUUCGAUUCCUGGUC